UUGAACGCUGGCGGUAGGCUUAACACAUGCAAGUCGUGCGAGAAAGUAUCUUCGGAUAUGAGUAGAGCGGCGGACGGGUGAGUAACGCGUAGGAAUCUACCUAGUAGAAGGGGAUAGCCCGGGGAAACCCGGAUUAAUACCGUAUACCUCCUUCGGGAAGAAAGAAGGCCUCUCUUUGAAGCUUUCGCUACUAGAUGAGCCUGCGUUAGAUUAGGUAGUUGGUGGGGUAACGGCCUACCAAGCCUACGAUCUAUAGCUGGUUUGAGAGGAUGAUCAGCAACACUGGGACUGAGACACGGCCCAAACUCCUACGGGAGCAGCAGUGAGGAAUAUUGG
RNAcentral lists this ribosomal RNA (336 nucleotides) under uncultured Oceanospirillales bacterium. RNAcentral describes it as "SSU rRNA". It matches the Rfam family "Bacterial small subunit ribosomal RNA", at positions 30 to 367 of the family's 1533-position model. Lineage: Bacteria; Pseudomonadati; Pseudomonadota; Gammaproteobacteria; Oceanospirillales. The record is from RNAcentral.